GAAGGAAAUGGCAACCCACUCUAGUAUUCUUUCCUGGGAAAUCCCACGGACAGAGGAGCCUCGCAGGCUACACAGUCCAUGGGGUUGCAAGAGUUCGACAAGACUUAGCCACUAAAGCACCACCACCAUAGCUAUAUGAUAGACUAGCUAAAGGCAUACCCACCUGGGAUCUGGUAUGGAAACCAUCUAAAUAUAGCUGCUGCGGUGCCAGCCUUGGACCCAGAGGGAGAUUGGUGGGGCUGGGCUGUUGGAAGGGGUGCCCUGCAGCUCUGAAGUCUUAUCCGUGGGACCUGGCUCUGGGCGACUAAGACUGAUGAGACUCAGGUGCUGCAAAGUACCACAGUGAUUGGGAGAACUAGGAGUAAUGGAGAAGGACCACCCAUGAAUCGUAUCUUAAGAGUCACUUCUUGAAUUGACUGAAUGGCUCAAAAUGUCAGAAUCAGUCCAAAUGAUUUUAUGUUUAAAGCCCAAAUACUUUUAUGUUUGUCCAUGUUUAAUAGCUCCUCCCAAUGCCAUCCCAGGGAAGGAGUUCUUUUUAGACAGGUUGUGUCUGAUGCUGCCAGGAAGACCAUGAUGCAUACAGUAAAUAUUUAAUGAUAAUGAAGUUAAAGGAAGAGGAAAAUGUGGACACAGAAACCCAGGAGGAACACCAUGUGAUUCCUGAGGCAGAGAUUGGAGUUAUUCUGCCUCAAGCCAAGGAAUGCCAAGGAUCACUGGCCAGCAGCAGAAGCCAGGAGAAAGCUUUAGAGGCAACCCUGAGUCUGUUGGCCUCAGAGCUUUAUCCAUCUCAGAUGGGAAGGCCAGCGCCAGCUUCGCCGGCAGGACCACGGCAUCUAUGUCGUUCAAGAAUCCGAGGAGGAAGGACCAAGCUCGUCUUGAAGAAUGAAAGGAAGGGACACCAGCUCCCUCUCCAAUCUCAAUCAGAGGAUAAAGAUAUAAAGACAGGGAUUGUUGGAGGCGUCUUGCCCCUAAAAUGGAAAGAACUUGAGGAUGCAGACAAGGAGAAAGAGCACAGUGGGUGAAUCCCACCGGGAGAGAAUUCAUAAUGGAUACAGAAUUUGAUUCCAGGAGUGGGAUGCAGUAAAAUACAAACCUAAAACGUGGACUUGUCUGAGCAGAGGUGAUGAGGUGAAGAGCAAUGGCCUGCUGGGACUCAGGCUUGUGCCUACAAAGUGCAUCAGGAAAAAUGGCAGGAAAAAUUCAAGAUUUGGGAUUCUAGUAAGGUCCUGCAAUGGAGCAACAAUCUUCAGAUGAAGUGUUCCAUCUGACAACAGAAGAAAGUAUGGUUUUACUUAGAAGGCUCUCUCUGGAUAUGCAUGGCAAGAAAAAUGCCUGGAAUCCGGCAAUGCUACAAAGACCAAAUACUUGACUCCAAGUUAAGGUUCAUACAAGUAAAGACAGGAGGUACAGCUGGGGCAAAAGACAAGCCUAUCUCCUUAGAUCACUCCUAAAUACUUCCUGUGAAAUCGUUCCCACCUGACAAAGCAAACAAGUGCAGCUGUGAUGGAACCAAGGCCAGGGAACAAAUCAUUCCACUCCAGGUUAUUAUCAGAAACUGUCCAGUAGCAGAAGCCAAGAUGAAAGUAGCAUCCAUGACAUUAAGGUCUAAGGGGAUGAUAAUAUUAUUAAUACAACAGAGGUCUGCUGUUAGACAAUAGAACUUCCUAGACUCCAAUACAACUGGAGACAGCCUCUCUGUCUAUUGUUCCCAGCCUGCGGAAGUGACUAGUCAAAUGUCUUGAUGAUACCUAAGCCUAUAAAGGAACUGUGUCACCAAAGACAUCCCAAUCCUGCAUGAUCAGAGUCUUGACAGCUGAAAUGCUGUGGCAUUAGGGUUAGGGUUAGGGUUAGGGUUCUUUGAGGUCACAUGCACAGAAUCAGGGAUGCUAAAAUUAUGUAGCCCUUGGAAAGGAAAACUUCUCUAGAUAUGUCAAUGAAUGAAGAGCCUCCAAGAGAAGAAAACCAGAGGCUGCCAGGUUGGUUGACUAAGCUACUCCUCUACUGACGGAGCACUAUCAGAUCAUGAUGCUGAAAAGAAGGGAGAAAAUUCUUAGUACUCCCAUUUCCAAGCCAGCGUCCUCAGAUUUCCCCCGAUUAGACUAAGCUAUGUUCUCACCCCCAAGUCUUGUACCCACCCCAGGGGAAUUAUGUCUUUUAUGUAUAAUUUGCCAGUGGAUGUCUAUGUUCAUGAGAGUGUGUGUUUUCCCAAUUCUCCUCUUUUUAUAAUUGAGACUUCUUUCAUUGAAGUUAUCUAUAUUCUUUGUCUACUGUUAUAUACUGAAUGUCUUGGUGAUUGAUAAAUUAGUCUUAACUAAGUGUGAAGAGCUACACUGACUGAAAAAAGUUUUUGUAUCACUCAGAAGUCCUGACUUGGAACUAGAUGUAGUAAUUGGAUGAUACUUUAGUUGUCUAUUUUGGGGGACAGAAUGAGUGUACUUUAUGUAGGUAUGAAUGAACAUUUAAAAAUAUGCAUGUAUGGGAAGAUGGGUGUAUGUAGGUAUUGCAUACUCAAAGAUGUGGGCUGUCUAAAACCACUUAAUGUUUAUCCUAAGACUGAGCAAAUAAGUGAAUAAAUUAUGGAAAAGGAGAGCCAAAUUUCUCAUGGCCUGGGAAAGGAGUUAUAAUUAAGGAAAGGAGAAAAACUAGAGUGAAAAUAGCAUUGGAUUAAUAUUGGAGGUUACCCCACAUGGGACUCAUGGCUUUUGAUAGUUAGAUGCAUAUAGAAAUAUACAUAAAUACAAGCCUGUAUGCUCACAUAUUUAUUUUAUAGCUCCAUUUUCAGAGAGCCCUAGACACAAUACCAGUAAUGAACACACCAAUUGCUCAGAUUUUGGUUUCUGAACACUAUUAUCCAAUGAGAGUUACUAUGGUUCCUUGGAGAAGUAGCUGAUUCUAGGCAGAGAAAGAAUAAGAUGGGAAGGAAAUGUCUCAUGAUGCCGGAUAUAAGGAAAUAUUAAAAACGAAUGAUGAGAAUCUGUCAAAAAGGCACAGGAGUCUACUUUAAAAAGCUCUCAUUAUCAAAUCUGGGACAACAUAAACAGCAAAAUAAAUAAUAGUAGUAAUGGAUUAUAACCCAUAGAAUAAAAUAAUACACAAACUGUACUGAUGUAAAGUGAAAAUGAAAGUCCUUCAGUCGUGUCUGACUCUUUGUGACCCCAUGGACUAUACAGUCCUUGGAAUUCUGCAGGCCAGAACACUGGAGUGGGUAGCCUUUAAAUGGCAGAGAAGAAAAAGCAUAGUAGAAUUCCAACUAAUAAAUGUAGAAAGAUUAAGGUCAAACAUUUGUCAAACACCACAGUGAGAAUUGUUUCAGGCAAGAUUCAUCAAUAAAUGUUAAGACAUUGGCAAAAAAAAAAAAUGAUGAGAAAUAGGGUUUUUAGGUAAUUUCAAAGUAUAUUCCCCAAAGCUUCUAACUAAUUACAAAGGAGAAAACAGUAACAUUAUUAUAAAGAAAGAUGGUAGGCACCACAUAAAAUUCAGAGAUUAAAAUUUUCAUCACUAUAAUGGUCCAAGUCAUCAUCCUGUGUCUUUGCUUGUGAUGCACUCAGAUGAAUAUAGUAUCACUCUGCAGUAUUUGUCCCCAAAAUGUAUAACCUUAAUUUAAAUUAUGAGCAAACAUUAUGCAAACACAAAUUGAGGGCCAUUCUACAAAAUAACUGACCAACGCACUUCAAAAUGUCAAGAUAAUGAAAGACAAAGGAAAGCUAUUGGAAUAAGAUAGCUGUAUCUAUUAGAGAAAAUUUUCUGAUUUUAAUCUUUGUGCAGAUGUUAUGUUAGAUAUUAACUUUUGGAGAAUCUGCAUGAAGAGUACACAGGAAGUCUGUCCUGUGUUUGUAACAUGCUUGGCAAGCAAAAUUCAAGAUGAAAAGUUUAACAUUUUUUAAAUUAAAAUAUGAAAAAAAAUCCUCAGCCUUUCAAUUGUUUCCAUGGUCACCUCUUCUUUAAAACCUUUGCAGACCCCUUAGUUAUUGUAAUUCCAUACUUAAAUUUAUUUCCAUAUUA
Bubalus bubalis (water buffalo) is the source of this 4002-nucleotide long non-coding RNA. RefSeq lists it as uncharacterized. The record is from RefSeq and is a predicted model, not a curated record. Lineage: Eukaryota; Metazoa; Chordata; Mammalia; Artiodactyla; Bovidae. The transcript has 6 exons.